Molecule: non-coding RNA, 72 nt
Organism: Myotis davidii
Lineage: Eukaryota; Metazoa; Chordata; Mammalia; Chiroptera; Vespertilionidae
Source: Rfam
GCCGGUGUGGCUCAGUGGAUAGAGCCUCAGCCUGCAGACUGAAGGGUCCGGGUUCGAUUCCAGUCAAGGGCA